Long non-coding RNA from Triticum aestivum (bread wheat), 750 nucleotides. RefSeq lists it as uncharacterized. The transcript has 3 exons. NCBI's taxonomy places the organism in Eukaryota, Viridiplantae, Streptophyta, Magnoliopsida, Poales, Poaceae. The record is from RefSeq and is a predicted model, not a curated record.
AGCAGUAAAAAACUGCCCCACACAUACGCACCUCAGGCGUCCCAGCGAAGCAGAAUGAUAAAACGGUGGGGAAAAGGAGAGAUUAGAGCCGGCUCCGAGCAGCCGAGCGGCGCCGCCGCGGAGGAGAGCCCGCCCCGCACAGCCGUGAGGACCAGAGAAGAGUACACCACCGGACCGGGAACGGGCCGGGAACCUGCUGCCGUGAACCGCCGCGGCGGGCAGGGAAGGAGCGCCGCGGCGGAUUAGGAAGGAGCGCCGUCGCAGGCCUAGGGAGAGCGCCGCCCGGACCAAGCUCCCUACUCGACCGAUCAAGGACUCUCGAUUCCGGCUGCCUGCAGCACAUCAGGCCAUCAGCUAACAGAAUGGCGGCACCGGGCAAAGCUAGCGGUAUGCAACAGCAGAGAGGCUGUUGAUUUGCUUAUAUCUGGUUCUGCUAUUAAGUUACUGAAGCAAGGCGAGAAGUGCUUUGGCGUGACUUCUUCCAACGUUGACUGGAGCAAUUGGGCGUGGCUUCGUCGGGCGUCGGGCGAGCUUUGGCAUGACUUCGUCGGACGUCGAGUGAAGCAGCUGGACAUGGAUUUUCGUGGUAGCUCUGUCGACUUCAAUAUGUUCAAGUCGUCGUGUUUGUCAACUUCGAAUUGAUUGGUGUGUCAUUGUGCGGCUGGUUGUACUUGCUUAUAUGGGUUGAGGUGGCUGGGUUUGAGGUGGCCGAGACGUAUGGAAAUCUGAUCGUGACCUUGUCAUAUUUUU